This 253-nucleotide ribosomal RNA is filed under the name uncultured bacterium. RNAcentral describes it as "partial 16S ribosomal RNA". It matches the Rfam family "Bacterial small subunit ribosomal RNA", at positions 524 to 776 of the family's 1533-position model. The record is from RNAcentral.
UACAGAGGUGGCAAGCGUUGUUCGGAAUUACUGGGCGUAAAGGGCGCGUAGGCGGCCACGCACGUCCGUUGUGAAAUCGCCCGGCUCAACUGGGCGGGGUCAGCGGAUACGGUGUGGCUCGAGCAAGCUAGGGGGCAAUGGAAUUCCCGGUGUAGUGGUGGAAUGCGUAGAUAUCGGGAGGAACACCAGUGGCGAAGGCGGUUGCCUGGAGCUUUGCUGACGCUGAGGCGCGAAAGCGUGGGGAGCGAUCCGG